Molecule: ribosomal RNA, 798 nt
Filed under: uncultured Porphyromonadaceae bacterium
Lineage: Bacteria; Pseudomonadati; Bacteroidota; Bacteroidia; Bacteroidales; Porphyromonadaceae
Description: bacterial SSU rRNA
Rfam family: Bacterial small subunit ribosomal RNA
Source: RNAcentral
AGAGUUUGAUUAUGGCUCAGGAUGAACGUUAGCGAUAGGCCUAACACAUGCAAGUCGAGGGGCAGCACAUGAAGUAGCAAUACGGAUGGUGGCGACCGGCGCACGGGUGAGUAACGCGUAUGCAACCUGCCUACAACAGGGGAAUAACCCGUUGAAAGACGGACUAAUACCCCAUAACACAGGGAUCCCGCAUGGGAAUAUUUGUUAAAGAUUUAUCGGUUGUAGAUGGGCAUGCGUUCCAUUAGCUUGUUGGUGAGGUAACGGCUCACCAAGGCAACGAUGGAUAGGGGAACUGAGAGGUUUAUCCCCCACACUGGUACUGAGACACGGACCAGACUCCUACGGGAGGCAGCAGUGAGGAAUAUUGGUCAAUGGACGCAAGUCUGAACCAGCCACGUCGCGUGAAGGAAGACGGCCCUACGGGUUGUAAACUUCUUUUGUAAGGGAAUAAAGUGUAGUACGUGUACUAUUUUGCAUGUACCUUACGAAUAAGGAUCGGCUAACUCCGUGCCAGCAGCCGCGGUAAUACGGAGGAUCCGAGCGUUAUCCGGAUUUAUUGGGUUUAAAGGGUGCGCAGGCGGGAGAUUAAGUCGGCGGUGAAAUUUUGCAGCUCAACUGUAAAAGUGCCUUCGAAACUGGUUUUCUUGAGUGUGGAUGAAGUAGGCGGAAUUUGUGGUGUAGCGGUGAAAUGCAUAGAUAUCACGAGGAACUCCGAUUGCGCAGGCAGCUUACUAAACCAUAACUGACGCUCAGGCACGAAGGCGUGGGGAUCAAACAGGAUUAGAUACCCUGGUAGUC